GAAGGAACGAGAUUUGAAGAGAGGAGGAGGGCGGAGGGAAAAGGGAGUAUGGAGUUUGAGAAGAUCUGAAAACGAAUUGCCUCCUUAGGUCUGAAGCCACCUUGAGGAGGCCCCUGGACUUCUCUCCCUUCUCCUGCUGACAGUCUGCCUGGGAGUGAAGGUCAAGAUGAUGGCAGGGGUUGUUCCCACGUGUCACACCCUGCCUUCAUGAAGCUUUGUAUGUAAAGCUGCUGCAUCUCCUGCAGGCUCAAGCUCUCUCCUCCAGGAAGAAGUUAAUCUCCCUCUGGUUUCCUGGGACUCGACUCAGUUGGACGGUGUCUGCCUGCGUGCCUUUAUCCCAC
This 341-nucleotide long non-coding RNA is filed under the name Camelus dromedarius (Arabian camel). Its description in RNAcentral is "lncRNA (ENSCDRG00005011403.1)". The record is from RNAcentral. Lineage: Eukaryota; Metazoa; Chordata; Mammalia; Artiodactyla; Camelidae.